AGAGUUUGAUCCUGGCUCAGGAUGAACGCUGGCGGUAUGCCUUAUACGUGCAAGUCGAACGGGAGUUUUUAACUCUAGUGGCGGACGGGUGAGUAACACGUAAGAAUUUGCCUUUAGGAGGGGGACAACAACUGGAAACGGUUGCUAAUACCCCAUAUGCUUUCGAGUAAAAUGGUUUUCCGCCUAAAGAGGAGCUUGCGGCUGAUUAGCUUGUUGGUAGGGUAAUGGCCUACCAAGGCGACGAUCAGUAUCUGGUUUGAGAGGACGAUCAGACACACUGGAACUGAGACACGGUCCAGACUCCUACGGGAGGCAGCAGUAGGGAAUUUUCCGCAAUGGGCGAAAGCCUGACGGAGCAAUACCGCGUGAGGGAUGAAUGCCUAUGGGUUGUAAACCUCUUUUUUCAGGGAGGAAUAAAUGACGUGUACCUGAAGAAUAAGCAUCGGCUAAUUCGGUGCCAGCAGCCGCGUUAGGACGGAGGAUGCAAGUGUUAUCGGGAAUCACUGGGCGUAAAGCGUCUGUAGGUGGCUCAAUAAGUCAACUGUUAAAUCUUGAAGCUCAACUUCGGAAUCGCAGUCGAAACUAUUUGGCUUGAGUAUAGUAGAGGUAAAGGGAAUUUCCAGUGGAGCGGUGAAAUGCGUAGAGAUUGGAAAGAACACCGAUGGCGAAGGCACUUUACUGGGCUAUUACUGACACUCAGAGACGAAAGCUAGGGUAGCAAAUGGGAUUAGAUACCCCAGUAGUCCUAGCCGUAAACAAUGGAUACUAGGUGUUGAACAGAUCGACCUGUGCAGUACCAAAGCUAACGCGUUAAGUAUCCCGCCUCGGAAGUAUGCACGCAAGAGUGAAACUCAAAUGAAUUGACGGGGGCCC
RNAcentral lists this ribosomal RNA (873 nucleotides) under uncultured cyanobacterium. RNAcentral's name for it is "bacterial SSU rRNA". It matches the Rfam family "Bacterial small subunit ribosomal RNA", at positions 8 to 922 of the family's 1533-position model. Lineage: Bacteria; Bacillati; Cyanobacteriota. The record is from RNAcentral.